This 567-nucleotide ribosomal RNA is filed under the name Salmonella enterica subsp. enterica serovar Cerro. RNAcentral describes it as "partial 23S ribosomal RNA". It matches the Rfam family "Bacterial large subunit ribosomal RNA", at positions 711 to 1274 of the family's 2925-position model. Lineage: Bacteria; Pseudomonadati; Pseudomonadota; Gammaproteobacteria; Enterobacterales; Enterobacteriaceae. The record is from RNAcentral.
AGACCCGAAACCCGGUGAUCUAGCCAUGGGCAGGUUGAAGGUUGGGUAACACUAACUGGAGGACCGAACCGACUAAUGUUGAAAAAUUAGCGGAUGACCUGUGGCUGGGGGUGAAAGGCCAAUCAAACCGGGAGAUAGCUGGUUCUCCCCGAAAGCUAUUUAGGUAGCGCCUCGUGAAUUCAUCUCCGGGGGUAGAGCACUGUUUCGGCUAGGGGGCCAUCCCGGCUUACCAACCCGAUGCAAACUGCGAAUACCGGAGAAUGUUAUCACGGGAGACACACGGCGGGUGCUAACGUCCGUCGUGAAGAGGGAAACAACCCAGACCGCCAGCUAAGGUCCCAAAGUCAUGGUUAAGUGGGAAACGAUGUGGGAAGGCCCAGACAGCCAGGAUGUUGGCUUAGAAGCAGCCAUCAUUUAAAGAAAGCGUAAUAGCUCACUGGUCGAGUCGGCCUGCGCGGAAGAUGUAACGGGGCUAAACCAUGCACCGAAGCUGCGGCAGCGACGCUGAUGCGUUGUUGGGUAGGGGAGCGUUCUGUAAGCCUGCGAAGGUGUGCUGUGAGGCAUGCU